Molecule: ribosomal RNA, 387 nt
Filed under: uncultured bacterium
Lineage: Bacteria
Description: bacterial SSU rRNA
Rfam family: Bacterial small subunit ribosomal RNA
Source: RNAcentral
AUUGAACGCUGGCGGCGUGCCUUACACAUGCAAGUCGAACGGCAGCACGGGAGCUUGCUCCUGGUGGCGAGUGGCGAACGGGUGAGUAAUACAUCGGAACGUACCCUGAAGUGGGGAGUAACGUAGCGAAAGUUACGCUAAUACCGCAUAUUCUGUGAGCAGGAAAGAAGGGGGAGUCGCAAGACCUCUUGCUUAGGAGCGGCCGAUGUCGGAUUAGCUAGUUGGUGAGGUAAAGGCUCACCAAGGCGACGAUCCGUAGCGGGUCGUGAGAGGAUGAUCCGCCACACUGGGACUGAGACACGGCCCAGACUCCUACGGGAGGCAGCAGUGGGGGAAUUUUGGACAAUGGGCGCAAGCCUGAUCCAGCCAUGCCGCGUGAGUGAAGAA